RNAcentral lists this long non-coding RNA (234 nucleotides) under Carica papaya (papaya). RNAcentral's name for it is "long non-coding RNA (CPAP_LNC012570)". Lineage: Eukaryota; Viridiplantae; Streptophyta; Magnoliopsida; Brassicales; Caricaceae. The record is from RNAcentral.
UGAGCAAUCAUUUGAAGGCUCGAUAUCAAGCUCCUCAAAACAGAAAAAGUUUAAGAAGGCUAAUUCAGCUUUAUCAUCCUCAUCGUCAACACCAAGUGCUCGAAUAUACUGUGACCAUUAUAAGAUCGAGGGUCAUACAAAGGAGAAAUGUUAGAAGUUGCACCCAAAGAAAAGACCAAAGGGUAAGACUGUGGAAAGAACAACUUGUAAUAAUGAACUCAUAGUAUUUGAUCA